CAAAUAGGCAAACAAAUGAGCAAACAAAACAAUUGUCUAUGGAUCAGUCUAAAACUCCUACCAAGUUCAGUAUCUUCUGUGUAAGCUUGGAGGGAUGCCUUAAGGACUUGGUAAAAGUCUCCUCUCUCUGUGCUGAGGCUGGCUUCAGAUUUCUCUCCUGUAUCUUGAGAAAUUAGAACUGGAAAAAAAGAUUCAAGGUUUUCAAAUGCCAUAAUCAGCCAAGAAGUGAUACACUUGUGAAGACUGAAAGACUGCCUAACUUGAGAAGAAUAACACCCAUGAACGCUGUCUGAAACAAACUUAAUAGAAGACAUAUACCUAUUCUAUGAAA
Cebus imitator (Panamanian white-faced capuchin) is the source of this 331-nucleotide long non-coding RNA. RefSeq lists it as uncharacterized. The transcript has 2 exons. The record is from RefSeq and is a predicted model, not a curated record. NCBI's taxonomy places the organism in Eukaryota, Metazoa, Chordata, Mammalia, Primates, Cebidae.